UAAGUGUAUUCGUCUUGAGUAAAGUGUUAAUUGACCAAUUUUAUUUGAAAUGAUUCAAAUUAAGAUAUUAUUACUAAUAACUACAUUGAUAUAACUAAAAUUAAAGAUGAAUUGAUAAGUUCAAUUACGAUUUCAAUUAUUCUCAUAUUAAUUACACGAUCAUCUUAGUAUGUUCGUUCUGAGUAGAGUGAUCGAUUGACUAAUUUUAUUUGAAAUGAUUCAAAUUAAGCCAUUAUUAGUAAUAGCCAAAUUGAAUUAAUAAUUACAAUUUCAAUUAAUCUCAUAGUAAUUACAUGAUCAUUU
Molecule: long non-coding RNA, 303 nt
Filed under: Capsicum annuum
Lineage: Eukaryota; Viridiplantae; Streptophyta; Magnoliopsida; Solanales; Solanaceae
Description: long non-coding RNA (CANN_LNC021342)
Source: RNAcentral